Molecule: ribosomal RNA, 253 nt
Filed under: uncultured bacterium
Lineage: Bacteria
Description: partial 16S ribosomal RNA
Rfam family: Bacterial small subunit ribosomal RNA
Source: RNAcentral
UACGGAGGGGGCAAGCGUUGUUCGGAAUUAUUGGGCGUAAAGCGUAUGUAGGCGGCUAGGUAAGUCAGGCGUGCAAGCCCGUGGCUCAACCACGGAAUUGCGCUUGAAACUGCUUGGCUUGAGUACAGGAGAGGAAAGCGGAAUUCCCAGUGUAGCGGUGAAAUGCAUUGAUAUUGGGAAGAACAUCUGUGGCGAAGGCGGCUUUCUGGCCUGUUACUGACGCUGAGAUACGAAAGCCAGGGUAGCGAACGGG